This 443-nucleotide ribosomal RNA is filed under the name uncultured soil bacterium. Its description in RNAcentral is "bacterial SSU rRNA". It matches the Rfam family "Bacterial small subunit ribosomal RNA", at positions 26 to 518 of the family's 1533-position model. The record is from RNAcentral.
AGAACGAACGCUGGCGGCAGGCUUAACACAUGCAAGUCGAGCGCCCCGCAAGGGGAGCGGCAGACGGGUGAGUAACGCGUGGGAACCUACCCAAUUCUACGGAACAACUGAGGGAAACUUCAGCUAAUACCGUAUACGCCCUACGGGGGAAAGAUUUAUCGGAGUUGGAUGGGCCCGCGUUGGAUUAGCUAGUUGGUGGGGUAACGGCCUACCAAGGCGACGAUCCAUAGCUGGUCUGAGAGGAUGAUCAGCCACACUGGGACUGAGACACGGCCCAGACUCCUACGGGAGGCAGCAGUGGGGAAUAUUGGACAAUGGGCGCAAGCCUGAUCCAGCCAUGCCGCGUGAGUGAUGAAGGCCUUAGGGUUGUAAAGCUCUUUCAGUAGGGAAGAUAAUGACGGUACCUACAGAAGAAGCCCCGCUAACUUCGUGCCAGCAGCCGC